Molecule: RNA transcript, 1560 nt
Organism: Lycium barbarum (goji berry)
Lineage: Eukaryota; Viridiplantae; Streptophyta; Magnoliopsida; Solanales; Solanaceae
Exons: 5
Source: RefSeq, a predicted model, not a curated record
CAACAGUUGUCAAAACAGAUUCAUUCCAACAAAAUUUCAAAACAAUAAAAUUUCCCCCUAUUCCAUAUUGUAUUUGGUUUACACUUUGCACAAAUUCAACAUCCAAAUUACACUUAGAUUAAUACCCAUAAAUAUUUAUUAUUUUAUCUAUACCCCCCCCCCCCACCCCCCCCCCCCCCCACACACACACACAACAAUAAUGGAGAAUGGUGGUUCUACAAAAAGAAUAAGACCUGAAGAUGUAAUAUGUAAACUCAAAGAUGAUGGUGAUUUUGAUAUACUUCGUCUCAAAAUUGUUCGCAAACUCAAAGAAAAUGAAGAAUUGCGGAAUAGCAUAAUAGCCACUGUGAAAGAAUCAGUAGCACUUAACCGUCCAGGCGUAGAAAAUUUGAAACCAAGGCAACUCUCCGAUGCUAUAUAUCAAGAAGUUGGGGACAAAGUCAUGGGUAAAAUUUCAGAAGAUCUGUGGAGUACAAUCAGAACUGGUGAUGGCAUUCAAACGGAGAUAACCCAAACUGUUCAAUCGGUUUACAAUAAGUUAUUGUACCCACAACUAAAUGAAGCUGGCGAAUCUUCCUCUCAUUCAGACUUGCAGCCAGCUAAGAAUGGAGUUGAAAGUAAUGGACAUAUUGCUGCGUCAGGCAGUGGGUCCGCGUUGUCUGUUGAUGCGGAGCCAAGUGAACCUCCUGGUUUUGCCCGAUUAGGUUCAAAUCAGAACAGCAAAAGUGACCAUAAGGAAUCACCCAAAGAGGAAUCAGGAAUUCCUGUUCCUGCCCAGUCAGAGACCAAUUGCUCACUUGACCCUUUGGUGCCCGACAGUGUGGAUGUUGGUGCGCCACCUGGCUUUGCUAUAGUCACGAAAGAGAAGAAUCCAGAUAAUGUCGAUGAUGAAGAUCCGGACGUGCCUCCAGGAUUUGGCUGAUCGCUUAUUAAGUUAUAAUGCUUCUGUUUAUAUUUUUGGAAAAGGUUAACCAUAUUGGGUUGAUCAUUGACGUGUCAAGUUCAAGAAGCUUGUUGACACGUGCAAAGAGUACCUUACUUUGACUUCGCCGACUAGAAGCUCAUGACCUCUCUUUCUUCAAUUUCCCGAGCUGUUUUUCCAAAAUUUCUAGGAGUUGAUGCUGUGGAUUGGACAAAGGAAAAUUAGUUGCCCAUACCAAUUGGCAAGAAGGUAUGCAACACUAACUUCAGAUACAAGAAGUGUUAUUUAUUGGUAUUAAAAAGUUCCAAGCAUGCUGUUUGGAAUUCGAUAUUUAGGUUUGUUUGCCUAAACACUCCUGUAAUAUGAAUCGGAAUUUAGGUUUAUUUGCCUAAACAAUCCUGUAAUAUGAACCAAAACUUAGGUUUUUUUUUUUUUUUUUUUUUUUUUUUUUUUUUGCCUAGGCACUCCUUUAAUUCGAUUCGCAGUUUUGAUUUGUUUGCCUAAAUACUCCUGUAAUUUACAGCAUGGAGAGCUAGAGUCCUGGCAUUACAUAAAUCUCUUUUUAAUUUCGGCAGUUUCAUUAAUACAUUGUAUUAAGUACCAUUCUAGUUGUUAAUGAAAUGAUUGUCAUAUAAUUG